CGCUCACUUAUCGCGGUGUUUCCUCCCUCUCCAGUCCCCCGGGGAGCUCUCGCGAGAGGAGCAAGGGGAAGAUGGCCGUGCCCUGUUUUUCGGUGUGAGGCCGUGGCUGUGACGGCGAGACCGGGAUUGUAGCGUCGUGGGCAGCUAGGCGGUAGCUCCCCCAGCGAGCGCGUGUCCCUUCGUACCUAGGCGAGAGCCAGCUCUUCUACCUCCGGGAGAUGCGUUUGUCCCGGGCUCGGAGGUUCUCUGGGAGUUCAUGCUGUGCUAGAGGCUCCCGGCCACCGCUCUAAUCGCCUUGUGCCGCCGCAACUCGAGCUCCGUCGCUGGCGGUGAGCCUCCCGGAUCCCCCCCUCGCCCCUUGCGGCGGCGAUGACCGGGGAGAAGAUCCGCUCACUGCGGAGGGACCACAAGCCCAGCAAAGAAGAGGGAGACCUGCUGGAGCCCGGGGAUGAGGAAGCGGCGGCUGCCCUCGGCGGCACCUUUACCGGAGGCAGGACUGGCACGGGCGGCGGCGGCAAGGGCGGCAAAGCCUGUCAUAAGAUCUUCAGUAACCAUCACCACCGGCUGCAGCUGAGGGCAGUUCCGGCCUCCUCCAAUCCCCCCGGCGCCCCGGCCCUGCCGCUGUACAAUUCCUCCGUGACUACCACCUCCCAGUCCCCAGCUCUUCUAGCCGGCACCAUCCCCAGUGCUGUCGUCGCGGAUGGAGGCACUUGCCCCGCACACUAUCCGGUGCACGAGUGCGUCUUCAAGGGGGAUGUGAGGAGACUGUCUUCUCUCAUCCGCACGCACAAUAUCGGGCAGAAAGAUAAUCAUGGUGAGGAGUGCUAGCCCCUCUCCACCUUCUUCCCUGAGCCUACGAUGUGCCUCCCCAGGCCUCUAGAAUCCUAGACUACCCCUCUUUCCUCUCCUUUGCCUG
Molecule: RNA transcript, 916 nt
Organism: Otolemur garnettii (small-eared galago)
Lineage: Eukaryota; Metazoa; Chordata; Mammalia; Primates; Galagidae
Gene name: ankyrin repeat domain-containing protein 13C pseudogene
Exons: 1
Source: RefSeq, a predicted model, not a curated record